UACGUAGGGUGCAAGCGUUAAUCGGAAUUACUGGGCGUAAAGCGUGCGCAGGCGGUUUUGCAAGACAGAUGUGAAAUCCCCGGGCUUAACCUGGGAACCGCAUUUGUGACUGCAUAGCUGGAGUACGGCAGAGGGGGAUGGAAUUCCGCGUGUAGCAGUGAAAUGCGUAGAUAUGCGGAGGAACACCGAUGGCGAAGGCAAUCCCCUGGACCUGUACUGACGCUCAUGCACGAAAGCGUGGGGAGCAAACAGG
Molecule: ribosomal RNA, 253 nt
Filed under: uncultured bacterium
Lineage: Bacteria
Description: partial 16S ribosomal RNA
Rfam family: Bacterial small subunit ribosomal RNA
Source: RNAcentral